GUCUAUGGCCAUACCCACUCUGAACGUGCCCAAUCUUGUCUGAUCUCAGAAGCUAAGCAGGGUUGAGCCUGGUUAGUACUUGGAUGGGAAAAAAUUUACCAAUAAUUUCAGAACAAAAGUCACCAUUAUUA
RNAcentral lists this ribosomal RNA (131 nucleotides) under Aotus nancymaae (Ma's night monkey). Lineage: Eukaryota; Metazoa; Chordata; Mammalia; Primates; Aotidae. The record is from RNAcentral.